RNAcentral lists this ribosomal RNA (561 nucleotides) under Penicillium sp. RNAcentral describes it as "SSU rRNA". It matches the Rfam family "Eukaryotic small subunit ribosomal RNA", at positions 33 to 576 of the family's 1831-position model. Lineage: Eukaryota; Fungi; Ascomycota; Eurotiomycetes; Eurotiales; Aspergillaceae. The record is from RNAcentral.
UUUGUAGUUACAAAAAGUGUCUCAAAGAUUAAGCCAUGCAUGUCUAAGUAUAAGCAACUUGUACUGUGAAACUGCGAAUGGCUCAUUAAAUCAGUUAUCGUUUAUUUGAUAGUACCUUACUACAUGGAUACCUGUGGUAAUUCUAGAGCUAAUACAUGCUAAAAACCCCGACUUCAGGAAGGGGUGUAUUUAUUAGAUAAAAAACCAACGCCCUUCGGGGCUCCUUGGUGAAUCAUAAUAACUUAACGAAUCGCAUGGCCUUGCGCCGGCGAUGGUUCAUUCAAAUUUCUGCCCUAUCAACUUUCGAUGGUAGGAUAGUGGCCUACCAUGGUGGCAACGGGUAACGGGGAAUUAGGGUUCGAUUCCGGAGAGGGAGCCUGAGAAACGGCUACCACAUCCAAGGAAGGCAGCAGGCGCGCAAAUUACCCAAUCCCGAUACGGGGAGGUAGUGACAAUAAAUACUGAUACGGGGCUCUUUUGGGUCUCGUAAUUGGAAUGAGAACAAUUUAAAUCCCUUAACGAGGAACAAUUGGAGGGCAAGUCUGGGCCCAGCCAGCCAAA